Molecule: ribosomal RNA, 468 nt
Filed under: uncultured bacterium
Lineage: Bacteria
Description: partial 16S ribosomal RNA
Rfam family: Bacterial small subunit ribosomal RNA
Source: RNAcentral
GACGAACGCUGGCGGCGUGCUUAACACAUGCAAGUCGAACGGAAAGGCCCUGCUUCUUUGGGGUGUUCGAGUUGCUAACGGGUGAGUAACUCGUGCGUAAUCUGCCUUUGCUUUUGGGAUAACUUCCGGAAACUGGGGCUAAUUCCUGCUAGGUGCUCCUUCUUCAUGGUGUGGGUUGGAAAGUUUCGGCGGCUGGGGAUUGACUCGUGGCUUUUCAGCUUGUUGGUGGGGUAGUGGCUUACCAAGGCUUGGACGGGUAGCCGGCCUGAGAGGGUGACCGGCCACAUUGGGACUGGGAUACGGGCAGUACUGAUACGGGAGGAAGCGAUGAGGAAUAUUGCAAGAUGGGCGGAAGCCUGAAGCAGCAACGCCGCGUGGGAGAGGACGGCCUUCGGGGUGUAAACCGCUUUCGCCGGUGAGUAAGAGUGAGUGACGGUAAUGGGUAAAGAAGCAACGGCUAACUACGUG